AAUUAAUGAUCUUGAACAAAGUUUAUGUCUUGAAUACAUAAGAAAGAAAUAAAACUUUCUAUUAAUUU
This 68-nucleotide transfer RNA is filed under the name Pseudomyrmex dendroicus. Its description in RNAcentral is "tRNA-Ser". Lineage: Eukaryota; Metazoa; Arthropoda; Insecta; Hymenoptera; Formicidae. The record is from RNAcentral.